AGUCGAGGGGUAACAGGAGUAGCUUGCUACUUGCUGACGACCGGCGCACGGGUGCGUAACGCGUAUACAAUCUACCUUUUACAGGAGGAUAGCCUUUAGAAAUGAAGAUUAAUACUCCAUAGUAAGUAACAAUGGCAUCAUUAUUACUUUAAAGCUUCGGUGGUAAAAGAUGAGUAUGCGUUCUAUUAGCUAGUAGGUAUGGUAACGGCAUACCUAGGCAACGAUAGAUAGGGGCCCUGAGAGGGGGAUCCCCCACACUGGUACUGAGACACGGACCAGACUCCUACGGGAGGCAGCAGUGAGGAAUAUUGGACAAUGGAGGCAACUCUGAUCCAGCCAUGCCGCGUGCAGGAAGACUGCCCUAUGGGUUGUAAACUGCUUUUAUACAGGAAGAAACCGCUCUACGUGUAGAGCUCUGACGGUACUGUAAGAAUAAGGAUCGGCUAACUCCGUGCCAGCAGCCGCGGUAAUACGGAGGAUCCAAGCGUUAUCCGGAAUCAUUGGGUUUAAAGGGUCCGUAGGUGGAUAAUUAAGUCAGAGGUGAAAGUUUGCGGCUCAACCGUAAAAUUGCCUUUGAUACUGGUUAUCUUGAGUUAUUAUGAAGUAGUUAGAAUAUGUAGUGUAGCGGUGAAAUGCAUAGAUAUUACAUAGAAUACCAAUUGCGAAGGCAGAUUACUAAUAAUCAACUGACACUGAUGGACGAAAGCGUGGGGAGCGAACAGGAUUAGAUACCCUGGUAGUCCACGCCGUAAACGAUGGUUACUAGCUGUUCGGACUUCGGUCUGAGUGGCUAAGCGAAAGUGAUAAGUAACCCACCUGGGGAGUACGUUCGCAAGAAUGAAACUCAAAGGAAUUGACGGGGGCCCGCACAAGCGGUGGAGCAUGUGGUUUAAUUCGAUGAUACGCGAGGAACCUUACCAGGGCUUAAAUGUAGUGUGACAGGACUAGAGAUA
Molecule: ribosomal RNA, 953 nt
Filed under: uncultured bacterium
Lineage: Bacteria
Description: bacterial SSU rRNA
Rfam family: Bacterial small subunit ribosomal RNA
Source: RNAcentral